AUUGAACGCUGGCGGCAUGCUUUACACAUGCAAGUCGAACGGCAGCGCGGGCUUCGGCCUGGCGGCGAGUGGCGAACGGGUGAGUAAUGCAUCGGAACGUGCCCAGUAGUGGGGGAUAGCCCGGCGAAAGCCGGAUUAAUACCGCAUACGACCUGAGGGUGAAAGCGGGGGACCGAAAGGCCUCGCGCUAUUGGGGCGGCCGAUGUCGGAUUAGCUAGUUGGUGGGGUAAAGGCUUACCAAGGCGACGAUCCGUAGCUGGCCUGAGAGGACGACCAGCCACACUGGGACUGAGACAAGGCCCAGACACAUACGGGAGGCAGCAGUGGGGAAUUUUGGACAAUGGGGGCAACCCUGAUCAAGCAAAGCCGCGUGCGGGAAGAAGGCCUUCGGGUUGUAAACCGCUUUUGUUCGGGAAGAAAGCCUCUGGGCUAAUACCCCGGGGGGAUGACGGUACCGGAAGAAUAAGAACCGGCUAAAUACGUG
This 484-nucleotide ribosomal RNA is filed under the name uncultured bacterium. RNAcentral's name for it is "partial 16S ribosomal RNA". It matches the Rfam family "Bacterial small subunit ribosomal RNA", at positions 29 to 507 of the family's 1533-position model. The record is from RNAcentral.